Molecule: non-coding RNA, 82 nt
Organism: Schistosoma mansoni
Lineage: Eukaryota; Metazoa; Platyhelminthes; Trematoda; Strigeidida; Schistosomatidae
Source: Rfam
AGCUUUUUAAAUCUGUGCAGAGAUUUCGUCAGACACCAACCCAUUAGGGCUGAUCAGACUUCCAAGAUAAGUUGUCAACGCG